RNAcentral lists this unclassified non-coding RNA (228 nucleotides) under plant metagenome. RNAcentral describes it as "partial contains small subunit ribosomal RNA, internal transcribed spacer 1, and 5.8S ribosomal RNA". The record is from RNAcentral.
UUUCCGUAGGUGAACCUGCGGAAGGAUCAUUACAGUGUUCCCUGCCCUUCGGGGUAGGAUCGCCACCCUUGAUUAUUUAUGAGUGUUGCUUUGGCGGGCCUCGCGGCCUGGCCGCGCCCCGGCUUCGGCGGGGGAGCGCCCGCCAGAGGAUUCUACAAACCUGAUUAUUAGUGUCAUCUGAGUACUAUAUAAUAGUUAAAACUUUCAACAACGGAUCUCUUGGUUCUG